RNAcentral lists this unclassified non-coding RNA (329 nucleotides) under soil metagenome. RNAcentral describes it as "partial contains 5.8S ribosomal RNA, internal transcribed spacer 2, and large subunit ribosomal RNA". The stretch from base 1 to 120 matches the Rfam family "5.8S ribosomal RNA", at positions 35 to 154 of the family's 154-position model. The record is from RNAcentral.
GAUGAAGAACGCAGCGAAAUGCGAUAAGUAAUGUGAAUUGCAGAAUUCAGUGAAUCAUCGAAUCUUUGAACGCACAUUGCGCCCCUUGGUAUUCCGAGGGGCAUGCCUGUUCGAGCGUCAUUAUAACCACUCAAGCUCAGCUUGGUGUUGGGGCCUGCUGCACUGGCAGCCCUUAAAAUCAGUGGCGGCGCCAUCUGGCUCUAAGCGUAGUAAUUCUUCUCGCUAUGGAGUCCUGGUGGAUGCUUGCCAUCAACCCCCAAUUUUUCUAUGGUUGACCUCGGAUCAGGUAGGGAUACCCGCUGAACUUAAGCAUAUCAAUAAGCGGAGGA